GAUAAACGCUGGCGGCGUGCCUAAUGCAUGCAAGUCGAACGGGCGUUCUUUCGGGGACGUGACCGUGGCGGACGGGUGAGGAGCACGUAGCUGACCUGCCCUGGUGUGGGGGAUAUCCUCCGGAAACGGAGUGUAAUACCGCAUGUGCUUCAUUGGAGGGAUCCGGUGAAGGAAAGCCGAGAGGCGUACCAGGAGGGGCUGCGUCCGAUUAGCUAGUUGGUGGGGUAACGCUCACCAAGGCGAUGAUCGGUAGCUGGUCUGAGAGGACGAUCAGCCACACGGGGACUGAGACACCGGCCCCGACUCCUACGGGAGGCAGCAGCAAGGAAUUUUCCACAAUGGGCGCAAGCCUGAUGGAGCAACGCCGCGUGGGGAUGACGCAC
This 383-nucleotide ribosomal RNA is filed under the name uncultured bacterium. RNAcentral describes it as "bacterial SSU rRNA". It matches the Rfam family "Bacterial small subunit ribosomal RNA", at positions 28 to 416 of the family's 1533-position model. The record is from RNAcentral.